CCUUGUCGGGUAAGUUCCGACCUGCACGAAUGGAGUAACGACUUGGGCGCUGUCUCAACCGUGGACUCGGCGAAAUUGCACUACGAGUAAAGAUGCUCGUUACGCGCGGCAGGACGGAAAGACCCCGGGACCUUUACUAUAGUUUGGUAUUGGUGUUUGGUUCGGCUUGUGUAGGAUAGGUGGGAGACUGUGAAGCAUUCACGCCAGUGGGUGUGGAGUCAUCGUUGAAAUACCACUCUGGUCGUACUAGAUGUCUAACCUAGGUCCGUAAUCCGGAUCAGGGACAGUGCCUGAUGGGUAGUUUAACUGGGGCGGUUGCCUCCUAAAAUGUAACGGAGGCGCUCAAAGGUUCCCUCAGCCUGGUUGGCAAUCAGGUGGCGAGUGUAAGUGCACAAGGGAGCUUGACUGUGAGACAGACAUGUCGAGCAGGGACGAAAGUCGGAACUAGUGAUCCGGCCACGGCAUGUGGAAGCGUGGUCGCUCAACGGAUAAAAGGUACCCCGGGGAUAACAGGCUGAUCUUCCCCAAGAGUCCAUAUCGACGGGAUGGUUUGGCACCUCGAUGUCGGCUCGUCGCAUCCUGGGGCUGGAGCAGGUCCCAAGGGUUGGGCUGUUCGCCCAUUAAAGCGGCACGCGAGCUGGGUUUAGAACGUCGUGAGACAGUUCGGUCCCUAUCCGCCGCGCGCGCAGGAAACUUGAGAAAGGCUGUCCCUAGUACGAGAGGACCGGGAUGGACGAACCUCUGGUGUGCCAGUUGUCCCGCCAGGGGCACGGCUGGUUAGCUACGUUCGGAAGUGAUAACCGCUGAAUGCAUCUAAGCGGGAAGCACGUUUCAAGAUGAGGUUUCCCACCACGUUAAGUGGGUAAGGCCCCCAGCAGAACACUGGGUUGAUAGGCCGGAGGUGUACAGCAGUAAUGCCUAGCCGACCGGUACUAAUAGGCCGAGGGCUUGUCCCACAA
Molecule: ribosomal RNA, 959 nt
Filed under: Nocardioides marmotae
Lineage: Bacteria; Bacillati; Actinomycetota; Actinomycetes; Propionibacteriales; Nocardioidaceae
Description: partial 23S ribosomal RNA
Rfam family: Bacterial large subunit ribosomal RNA
Source: RNAcentral